Non-coding RNA from Picea glauca (white spruce), 124 nucleotides. The record is from Rfam. Lineage: Eukaryota; Viridiplantae; Streptophyta; Pinopsida; Pinales; Pinaceae.
UCUUAUGUACAUGCCUACAAUGUCAAUGCACCUGAUCCCAUUAUAGCUUUGUAGUUAAGAGUGCUUGGGCUAGAGUAGUACUAGGCUGGGUGACCUCCCAAGAAGUCUUAGUGUUUUACAUGCC